AUCUUGAAGAACACCAGUUACGGAAAAGGUAACUGUCUUUUCUUCUUUGAGUUCUUGUUCAUGUCCAUUCCAUAUUAGGUGACUGCCAAGCAGUACCCCUGGAGGAGGGUGGAAGUUCACUGACAUGUAGAUUACAACAUAGCUCUGCCAAAACAGUGUCGUCCCUGGCCUGCUGAGUGAUGGCACAAUGAGUGGUAAAUGUGUGAACAGAGGACCACGUUACAGCUCUACAGAUGUCCUGGAUAGGGAUGUGCACCAGGAAGGCCGACAAAGACGCCUGCGCUCUCACUGAGUGGGCUCUGACAAUCGGCGGCGGAACCCCUCGUCCACUUGACCAGGGCCCUGCUGAUGAGCGGAAUCGGAGGGAACGUGUAGGGGCAGGCUCCCUGACCACGACAGGAGGAAGGCGUCUGAGAGGGAACCAUUGCUCAGACCUUGACGAGAAAAAAACCAGUGGCAUUUCCUGUUCUGUCUGGUAGCGAACAGGUCCACUUGGGGAGUUCCCCACCUUUGGAAGAUCAUGCAGGCUACCUCUGGAUGGAGCGACCACUUGUGUUGAGGGGAGAAGCCCUGCUGAGCUGGUCUGCCGGCAUAAUUCUGAUGCUGGGAAGGUGACAAGCUUCCAGGUGGAUCUCAUGGCUGAUGCAGAAGUCCCAUAGACAGAGGGCCUCCUGACAGAGAGCUGAUGAGCACAGUCCCCCUUGUCUGUUGAUGUAGAACAUUGAGGCUGUGUUGUCUGUCAGGACUCGUACCAACUUGCUCAACAGGUGGGGCAAGACUCUGCAUGUCAGCUGGACUGCUCAGAGCUCUUUGAUGUUUAUGUGUAAGCAUGCUUCAUCCAGGGACCACAUCCCGAGUCUGGAGGACACCGAUAUGUGCCCCCCCGCUGAGGUCCGAGGCAUCUGACACCAAUUUGAUGGAGUCGGGAGGGUUGUCAAACAGAAUGCCUUCCAGGACUGAUCUGUGGUUGGUCCACCACCUCAGCGAGUAGACCCAGAGAGGGCACAUAGUGAAGCUCCGCAACAUCCCUUUGGACUUGAGACCUAGAGCUGCCCUUGACGAGCCAGUCAUCGAGGUACGGGUAGAUCUGGAUACCUCGGUGCCUGAGGAUCAGUCUAUCUAUCCAUCCACAUCAACAGCUCCCUCACAUUCAGAAACAAACUAGCAGUACCUCUAGUACAGUGUUGCAGAAGGGAAGAACAACAGAGGAUAUAGCAAGAGCCUGGAAAACUAUUUCACCUGUUUGAAGUUGCCAUUUUUCCUCUGCUCCCAGUCCAUCAUGUCAUGAAAGAUGGGGAUCAUGAUGUUGCGGACCUCUGUCUGUGGGACCAGUGUGACACCAAGAAAGGGGCCAAUCAUUCCCGGGAUAAAGUGAAUUUUAUGUUCACCUGGGC
Molecule: long non-coding RNA, 1394 nt
Organism: Mauremys mutica (yellowpond turtle)
Lineage: Eukaryota; Metazoa; Chordata; Testudines; Geoemydidae
Exons: 4
Source: RefSeq, a predicted model, not a curated record